This 409-nucleotide ribosomal RNA is filed under the name uncultured bacterium. RNAcentral's name for it is "bacterial SSU rRNA". It matches the Rfam family "Bacterial small subunit ribosomal RNA", at positions 29 to 480 of the family's 1533-position model. The record is from RNAcentral.
AACGAACGCUGGCGGCAUGCCUAACACAUGCAAGUCGAACGAACCCUUCGGGGUUAGUGGCGCACGGGUGCGUAACGCGUGGGGAUCUGCCCUUUGCUUCGGAAUAACAGUUAGAAAUGACUGCUAAUACCGGAUGAUGUCGUAAGACCAAAGAUUUAUCGGCAAAGGAUGAACCCGCGUAGGAUUAGCUAGUUGGUGGGGUAAAGGCCUACAAGGCGACGAUCCUUAGCUGGUCUGAGAGGAUGAUCAGCCACACUGGGACUGAGACACGGCCCAGACUCCUACGGGAGGCAGCAGUGGGGAAUAUUGGACAAUGGGCGAAAGCCUGAUCCAGCAAUGCCGCGUGAGUGAUGAAGGCCUCGGUUGUAAGUACGUCUUUUACCUAGGUAGUAGAUAAUAGACAGUACCU